Molecule: long non-coding RNA, 2618 nt
Organism: Mya arenaria
Lineage: Eukaryota; Metazoa; Mollusca; Bivalvia; Myida; Myidae
Exons: 3
Source: RefSeq, a predicted model, not a curated record
CUACUUUCAGUUUAAGAAUCGAAGUCUUGUUUGGCAUAAGUAAAUUUAUAUGGCAGAAAUAUUUACACGGAACUAAAUUUGUCGAAGGAAAUGGACAUUUAAAAAUAAACGGAUUGCUUUAUUAUUAUUCUUAUUGUUUGUCCGAUGAAGACGACUUGGCAGCGCCAAGUUCAAAGCGGCCCCGGUGCGGAUACCUUCUAACGUCCCAUCCGGAACGGAUGCUGCAGAAUACGGAAAGCACUACACAAACUGAAGCCAAAUUUAAUAGCAGUGAAGAUCUAAGCAAGGCCAAGUUCAUCAGACAUCUGACAUCCCAGUGAAGACGUUAGCAAAUACCAGUGACUGCUGGUUGAGCAGUGUGGUACUACUGUCCGAGGACAGGCUCCUUCUGACAGAUGCAUGCAAUACAUCAGUGAAGCUGGUUAACACCCAAACCUACAUGGUUGUGUCAGAGGUGAAACUGUCAUGUCAGCCAUGGGGCGUGUGUCUCCUGCCUGGGGACAGGGCAGCUAUCACUAUGUCAUCUCUGUUUUCAAAGGGGAGGAUUCAGAUAUUAUCAACGCAAGAAAAACUGUCACUUCAGGACAUGAUCUACUUAGAUGGAGACCAUCAUGGAAUAGGUUUCUGUGAAGGCAACUUGAUAGUGUCCUUUGUCUCCAAGCUAAGGUUGUGAUGAUUGACAUGAAAGGAAACGUGAAAAAAAGUGUUGACAAAGACAGCAGUGGAAAACCUUUGUUUGUACGUCCCGGUUUUCUGACUGUGACCAGAGAAGGCCAGUCUCCGGUCAUAUAUGUUUCAGACUCGUCCACCCACACCAUCACCAAGCUGAACUCAUCACUACAGGUCAUUCAGACGUGGAAUAAGUUAGGGCUUAUUAGCCCACAGGGUCUAACGCCCGUGGUAGACAAUCAGAUACUCGUGUGUGGGGGGUACGAAAACAUCAUCGUGUUACUGGACAUGUCCAACAACAAGAUGACAAAAUUGUUAGGGAAGGUGGAUGGGAUAGAGGCGCCAUUUAGUGUAGCUUACCACCGACAACAGAAGAGGAUUUUUGUCACCAACUUCCAGUUAGGGUCAAAGUUUAACAAUUCCAUACAAGUUUAUAAUGUACUAUAAGUUGAAUUUAAUUAACUACCCAUUCCGUUGCAACAAAUGAUGAUUUGGAAGAACACUUUUAAGGCUAAAUUUUAGAAGUACUUAUACAUAUAAUUUAUUUUGCAUUGUUAUAUAAUUUCAUCAUAACGCAGUUUGUUCCAUUGAACAAUUUUCGAGAGAAACUUUAUGGUAAUUCUAUGUUGAUUCUUAACUCUUUUCGGAAGUCGUUCAAUAAUUAAUGAUAUGAGAUAAACAUUAAAUAUAUUUGUAUUAUCAAUAUAAAUAUGAGUAGAUGGUGUAUCAGAUAUACAGGCAAGUUUGUAAAUUUCAAACGAGAGCAUAAGAUGUGGUAAUUGUAUGCUAGUGGAAUGAGUUUAUUAUGUUUAAAGUAUAAAGCUUAUUUUGUAAGACAAUGGAGAGAUACCUUGUUUAAUGAUAUGGUAUCAUAUUAACGUUUGAUAGUUUUAACAGCUUUUAUAUUUCGAAACUGUGAUCAUACUGUGAUCUGUAAAUACUUUGUUUGUAUACAUUAUAAUAUUUUGGUUGUGACUGUUUUCUAUGUAAGAAACUUUGAGCUGUGUUGGCUUAUUCCGUGAAAAACAUAUAUUGACUGACAUAAAUGCAUUCGAGCUCUAGCUAUAACACACACUGUAGACUUUUAUCAAUCAUGGCUUACUUACACCUUUAUAAACAAACAUUCAUGCACUUGGUGCAACACACUCUGUAGAGGUGUUACUUUGUAUCACAAUUAACUAACUUACACCUAUAUAUACAAACACUCGGGAAUUAGCUACAACACCCACUAUACAGUUGUGACUUCUAUCACAGACGACAAACUUACAACUAUAUAAACAGACAGACAGAAUUGUUUAUUGUCGUAAACAUGUAAAUAACAGUUUCUUGACAAAACAUGAUGUCAAAUAAAAAUUAUUAUGGUCACAAUGAUACAUGGCAAAAAAAGAAGAAAAAAAACACACACAGAUAAAACAUAAUAUUGAUUAUUAUUUUUAUACAAAUGGUAAAUAUCUUAAAGCUUAAUAUAUGCAAUACCAGAAAAAUAGGGAUUUGGGAGGCUAAUAUCAUAUAUUUCUUUAUAGACUAGAUCAUAUUAUUGUUCACAUAAUUUCUUAAAAGAAAUGCUUGGUUCAUAAAUUUUCUUAGAUUUCUUAUUUCGACUAUAUUUUGCGAUUUCAUUAAUUCUACAAAUGUGUACAUACUUGGGUUUCUAACAUAGAUUGUUUUUAUCAACUCCUUUCUGAUAUUGUUAUACACAGGGCAUAUUAUGACAAAGUUAUUUAACAUCACAUACUGUAGAGAUGUUUAUUGUAUCACAAAUAACUUUCUAACACCUACAUAUAGCAGCAUUCGUGCACUAGGUACCAGUCAAACUGUAUGUUUUUGCAAUUUAUCGCAUAUGAACAACUUACACCUUCAUAUAAACUAUUGUUGCACUACCAACAACAAAGAUUUAGUUGUUGAUUGUUAUUAUAUUUGAAUCAUAUUACAGCAGAUAAAAAACGUUA